CAAAAACAUCGCCUCUUGACUAAAAUAAGAGGUCCCGCCUGCCCAGUGACUCAUGUUCAACGGCCGCGGUAUCCUAACCGUGCGAAGGUAGCGUAAUCACUUGUUCUUUAAAUGGGGACUAGUAUGAAUGGCAUCACGAGGGUUAUACUGUCUCCCUUUUCUAAUCAGUGAAACUAAUCUCCCCGUGAAGAAGCGGGGAUAAAAAUAUAAGACGAGAAGACCCUAUGGAGCUUUAAAUUUCAAUUCAAAUGCCCUUAUCUAAAAGUUUUCAACUUCACCCCUACAAACCCGGCAUAAUGAAAUAGAAUUUUAGGUUGGGGUGACCGCGGAGCACAAAACAACCUCCACAUUGAACUAGGCCUACUGCCUUAAGCAACGAAUUACAAUCCAAUGCACAAAAAAAUUUACAUUCAUUGACCCAAUUUUACUUGAUCAACGAACCAAGUUACCCUAGGGAUAACAGCGCAAUCCUCUUCAAGAGCCCAUAUCGCCAAGAGGGUUUACGACCUCGAUGUUGGAUCAGGGUAUCCCAGUGGCGCAGCCGUUACUAAUGGUUCGUUUGUUCAACGAUUAAAACCCU
RNAcentral lists this ribosomal RNA (580 nucleotides) under Scinax nebulosus group sp. ABGD cluster 35. RNAcentral describes it as "partial large subunit ribosomal RNA". It matches the Rfam family "Bacterial large subunit ribosomal RNA", at positions 1808 to 2597 of the family's 2925-position model. Lineage: Eukaryota; Metazoa; Chordata; Amphibia; Anura; Hylidae. The record is from RNAcentral.